RNAcentral lists this unclassified non-coding RNA (390 nucleotides) under uncultured fungus. RNAcentral's name for it is "sequence contains ITS1". The stretch from base 1 to 105 matches the Rfam family "5.8S ribosomal RNA", at positions 50 to 154 of the family's 154-position model. Lineage: Eukaryota; Fungi. The record is from RNAcentral.
AAACUGCGAUAAGUAGCGUGAAUUGCAGACGCUUUGAACGUUAAACUUUCGAACGCACAUUGCGCCGUAGGAGUCCUACCCUGCGGCACAUCUGGUUGAGGGUCGUGAUCAAAAACAGCAGGACUAUCCUCCAUAGCUGGUGAAUCACGAGUUCGGCCUACCGCCUCUGGCCGAGCGUGUUUUGCCAUAAUGCUAUGGAGGAUAGUCCUUAGAGACUGCCUACCACACGGAUGGUCUAUUAGCUGACGCAAUAGAUCCCGGUCUUAGGGUAUCAUACUUACAUAUACUCUAGGGCGUCUGGGAUACAGCUAGUAUGCCCCAUACGUGCUUGGUUUUGAGAGUUUUCGCUCUCCCGACCUCAACUCAGGUGUGAUUACCCGCUGAACUUAA